This 253-nucleotide ribosomal RNA is filed under the name uncultured bacterium. RNAcentral's name for it is "partial 16S ribosomal RNA". It matches the Rfam family "Bacterial small subunit ribosomal RNA", at positions 524 to 776 of the family's 1533-position model. The record is from RNAcentral.
GACAGAGGGUGCAAGCGUUGUUCGGAAUUAUUGGGCGUAAAGGGCGCGUAGGCGGCUUGAUAAGUCAAAGGUGAAAUCCCUCGGCUCAACUGAGGAACUGCCUUUGAAACUGUCGGGCUUGAGGCCGGGAGGGGGUAGCGGAAUUCCCAGUGUAGCGGUGAAAUGCGUAGAUACUGGGAGGAACACCGGUGGCGAAGGCGGCUACCUGGACCGGUUCUGACGCUGAGGCGCGAAAGCGUGGGUAGCAAACAGG